Molecule: ribosomal RNA, 253 nt
Filed under: uncultured bacterium
Lineage: Bacteria
Description: partial 16S ribosomal RNA
Rfam family: Bacterial small subunit ribosomal RNA
Source: RNAcentral
UACAGAGGGUGCAAGCGUUAAUCGGAAUUACUGGGCGUAAAGCGCACGUAGGCGGAUUUGUAAGUCAGAUGUGAAAUCCCCGGGCUCAACCUGGGAACGGCAUUUGAUACUGGCAAACUCGAGUGUGGUAGAGGGAAGUGGAAUUCCGCAUGUAGCGGUGAAAUGCGUAGAUAUGCGGAGGAGCACCAGUGGCGAAAGCGGCUUUCUGGACCAACACUGACGCUGAGGUGCGAAAGCGUGGGGAGCAAACAGG